UACAGAGGGUGCAAGCGUUGAUCGGAAUUACUGGGCGUAAAGCGUGCGCAGGCGGUUUUGUAAGACAGAUGGGAAAUCCCCGGGCUUAACCUAGGAACUGCAUUUGUGACUGCAAGACUAGAGUGCGGCAGAGGGGGGUAGAAUUCCACGUGUAGCAGUGAAAUGCGUAGAGAUGUGGAGGAAUACCGAUGGCGAAGGCAGCCCCCUGGGUCGACACUGACGCUCAUGCACGAAAGCGUGGGGAGCAAACAGG
Molecule: ribosomal RNA, 253 nt
Filed under: uncultured bacterium
Lineage: Bacteria
Description: partial 16S ribosomal RNA
Rfam family: Bacterial small subunit ribosomal RNA
Source: RNAcentral